Molecule: ribosomal RNA, 881 nt
Filed under: uncultured bacterium
Lineage: Bacteria
Description: bacterial SSU rRNA
Rfam family: Bacterial small subunit ribosomal RNA
Source: RNAcentral
CCUGGCUCAGAACGAACGUUGGCGGCAUGGAUUAGGCAUGCAAGUCGGGGGAAUCCCGCAAGGGGAACCGGCGUAAGGGGCAGUAAGGCAUGGGUACCUACCCGGGGGUUCGGGAUAGCCAUCAGAGAUGGUGGGUAAUACCGGAUGACCUCGUGAGAGCAAAGAUUCAUCGCCCCCGGAGGGGCCCAUGUGAUAUUAGCUAGUUGGUGGGGUAACGGCCCACCAAGGCGAAGAUGUCUAGCGGGUGUGAGAGCACGACCCGCGCCACUCGCACUGAGACACUGGCGAGACACCUACGGGUGGCUGCAGUCGAGGAUCUUCGGCAAUGGGGGCAACCCUGACCGAGCGAUGCGCGUGCGCGAUGAAGGCCUUCGGGUUGUAAAGCGCUUUAGUGGGGGAGAAAAGCCGAGAGGUGUGAUCUAUCCCAAAAAUAAGCUCGGGCUAAGUUCGUGCCAGCAGCCGCGGUAAGACGAACCGAGCGAACGUUGUUCGGAAUCACUGGGCUUAAAGGGCGCGUAGGCGGGCUAUCAAGUCUGGGGUGAAAUGCCGCGGCUCAACCGCGGAACGGCCUCAGAUACUGACGGCCUGGAGGGAGGUAGGGGCAUGUGGAACUGUAGGUGGAGCGGUGAAAUGCGUUGAUAUCUACAGGAACUCCGGUGGCGAAAGCGACGUGCUGGACCUCUUCUGACGCUGAGGCGCGAAAGCUAGGGGAGCAAACGGGAUUAGAUACCCCGGUAGUCCUAGCCCUAAACGAUGGGUACUAGAUAGUAGACCCAGAUAUGGGUUUACUGUCGAAGUUAAAAUGCUAAGUACCCCGCCUGGGGAGUAUGGUCGCAAGGCUGAAACUCAAAGAAAUUGACGGGGGCUCACACAAGCGGUGG